UACAGAGGGUGCAAGCGUUGUUCGGAAUUAUUGGGCGUAAAGCGCGUGUAGGCGGCUUUGCAAGUCGGGUGUGAAAAGCCCCUCAGCUCAACUGAGGAAGUGCGCCCCGAAACUGCAGAGCUUGAGUACCGGAGAGGGUGGCGGAAUUCCCCAAGUAGAGGUGAAAUUCGUAGAUAUGGGGAGGAACACCGGUGGGCGAAGGCGGCCACCUGGACGGUCACUGACGCUGAGACGCGAAAAGCGUGGGGAGCAAACAGG
This 258-nucleotide ribosomal RNA is filed under the name uncultured bacterium. RNAcentral describes it as "partial 16S ribosomal RNA". It matches the Rfam family "Bacterial small subunit ribosomal RNA", at positions 524 to 776 of the family's 1533-position model. The record is from RNAcentral.